This 465-nucleotide ribosomal RNA is filed under the name Vreelandella stevensii. RNAcentral describes it as "partial 16S ribosomal RNA". It matches the Rfam family "Bacterial small subunit ribosomal RNA", at positions 338 to 795 of the family's 1533-position model. The record is from RNAcentral. Lineage: Bacteria; Pseudomonadati; Pseudomonadota; Gammaproteobacteria; Oceanospirillales; Halomonadaceae.
CCCACGGGGGGCAGCAGUGGGGAAUAUUGGACAAUGGGGGGAACCCUGAUCCAGCCAUGCCGCGUGUGUGAAGAAGGCCCUCGGGUUGUAAAGCACUUUCAGUGAGGAAGAACGCCUGGUGGUUAAUACCCAUCAGGAAAGACAUCACUCACAGAAGAAGCACCGGCUAACUCCGUGCCAGCAGCCGCGGUAAUACGGAGGGUGCGAGCGUUAAUCGGAAUUACUGGGCGUAAAGCGCGCGUAGGUGGCUUGAUAAGCCGGUUGUGAAAGCCCCGGGCUCAACCUGGGAACGGCAUCCGGAACUGUCAAGCUAGAGUGCAGGAGAGGAAGGUAGAAUUCCCGGUGUAGCGGUGAAAUGCGUAGAGAUCGGGAGGAAUACCAGUGGCGAAGGCGGCCUUCUGGACUGACACUGACACUGAGGUGCGAAAGCGUGGGUAGCAAACAGGAUUAGAUACCCCGGUAGUC